UACGGAGGGGGCUAGCGUUAUUCGGAAUUACUGGGCGUAAAGCGCACGUAGGCGGAUCUGCAAGUCAGAGGUGAAAUCCCAGGGCUCAACCUUGGAACUGCCUUUGAAACUGCGGGUCUUGAGUUCGAGAGAGGUGAGUGGAAUUCCGAGUGUAGAGGUGAAAUUCGUAGAUAUUCGGAAGAACACCAGUGGCGAAGGCGGCUCACUGGACAAGUAUUGACGCUGAGGUGCGAAAGCGUGGGGAGCAAACAGG
Molecule: ribosomal RNA, 253 nt
Filed under: uncultured bacterium
Lineage: Bacteria
Description: partial 16S ribosomal RNA
Rfam family: Bacterial small subunit ribosomal RNA
Source: RNAcentral